Molecule: ribosomal RNA, 1416 nt
Filed under: Vibrio parahaemolyticus
Lineage: Bacteria; Pseudomonadati; Pseudomonadota; Gammaproteobacteria; Vibrionales; Vibrionaceae
Description: bacterial LSU rRNA
Rfam family: Bacterial large subunit ribosomal RNA
Source: RNAcentral
UAAGGCUGAGACACGACGUCGAGCACCUACGGGUGUGAAGUCAUUGAUGCCAUGCUUCCAGGAAAAGCCUCUAAGCUUCAGAUUGUAAGGAAUCGUACCCCAAACCGACACAGGUGGUCGGGUAGAGAAUACCAAGGCGCUUGAGAGAACUCGGGUGAAGGAACUAGGCAAAAUGGUACCGUAACUUCGGGAGAAGGUACGCUCUUGAUGGUGAAGUCCCUCGCGGAUGGAGCUGACGAGAGUCGCAGAUACCAGGUGGCUGCAACUGUUUAUUAAAAACACAGCACUGUGCAAAAUCGUAAGAUGACGUAUACGGUGUGACGCCUGCCCGGUGCCGGAAGGUUAAUUGAUGGGGUUAGACUUCGGUCGAAGCUCUUGAUCGAAGCCCCGGUAAACGGCGGCCGUAACUAUAACGGUCCUAAGGUAGCGAAAUUCCUUGUCGGGUAAGUUCCGACCUGCACGAAUGGCGUAAUGAUGGCCACGCUGUCUCCACCCGAGACUCAGUGAAAUUGAAAUCGCUGUGAAGAUGCAGUGUACCCGCGGCUAGACGGAAAGACCCCGUGAACCUUUACUACAGCUUGGCACUGAACAUUGACCCUACAUGUGUAGGAUAGGUGGGAGGCUUUGAAGCACGUACGCCAGUAUGUGUGGAGCCGUCCUUGAAAUACCACCCUUGUAGUGUUGAUGUUCUAACGUCGACCCCUAAUCGGGGUUGCGGACAGUGCCUGGUGGGUAGUUUGACUGGGGCGGUCUCCUCCCAAAGAGUAACGGAGGAGCACGAAGGUGGGCUAAUCACGGUUGGACAUCGUGAGGUUAGUGCAAUGGCAUAAGCCCGCUUGACUGCGAGAAUGACAAUUCGAGCAGGUGCGAAAGCAGGUCAUAGUGAUCCGGUGGUUCUGAAUGGAAGGGCCAUCGCUCAACGGAUAAAAGGUACUCCGGGGAUAACAGGCUGAUACCGCCCAAGAGUUCAUAUCGACGGCGGUGUUUGGCACCUCGAUGUCGGCUCAUCACAUCCUGGGGCUGAAGUCGGUCCCAAGGGUAUGGCUGUUCGCCAUUUAAAGUGGUACGCGAGCUGGGUUUAGAACGUCGUGAGACAGUUCGGUCCCUAUCUGCCGUGGGCGUUGGAAGAUUGAAGGGGGCUGCUCCUAGUACGAGAGGACCGGAGUGGACGAACCUCUGGUGUUCGGGUUGUGUCGCCAGACGCAUUGCCCGGUAGCUAAGUUCGGAAUCGAUAACCGCUGAAAGCAUCUAAGCGGGAAGCGAGCCCUGAGAUGAGUCUUCCCUGAUACUUUAAGUAUCCUAAAGGGUUGUCGGAGACUACGACGUUGAUAGGUCAGGUGUGUAAGUGCUGUGAGGCAUUGAGCUAACUGAUACUAAUUGCCCGUGAGGCUUAACCAUACAACACCCAAGGGGUUU